CACCCAUCUAACCAAUUGCAAUAUCAUCAAUGGAACUACUGAUCAUUUGUGAUAACCAGAAACACUAAGAGUUGAAGCAUAUAUUAGUUUUUCUUGCAUUUUCAAUCCCGCAAGAAACCCCUAAACUUGAAAUUGCUAUAUCGAUGAAACUAAUCAGGAUCCUUACAUUGCAACAUCUAACAAUGCAUCACUGACCAAACAAGCAAACACUCAACAAGGCAUGGAAAUUUUUUAAACA
RNAcentral lists this unclassified non-coding RNA (238 nucleotides) under Hevea brasiliensis (rubber tree). The record is from RNAcentral. Lineage: Eukaryota; Viridiplantae; Streptophyta; Magnoliopsida; Malpighiales; Euphorbiaceae.